Microcebus murinus (gray mouse lemur) is the source of this 390-nucleotide non-coding RNA. The record is from RefSeq and is a predicted model, not a curated record. NCBI's taxonomy places the organism in Eukaryota, Metazoa, Chordata, Mammalia, Primates, Cheirogaleidae.
CUGGAGCUGCAAACUGCCCUCGGGGCAGAGCAGCCUGCAGAAUAAUUGGGAGGAGUCUGGCAGGAGGGAGGCCAAGAGUGUCCACAGCUCUGCUCCUGCCCAGUAAAUGCAGUGGUGCUUUCCAAUCCUGGGAACAACCAAAACUGUCCCCGCCAGCUUCCACAAUGUCCCCGCUGAGAACCACCAACCUGGAGGAACUGAGGAAGAAGAGCAACUGCCCGUGGAGGCUUCUGGAAGCACACCGCUGCAGAGCCCACUGCUGUGAGCAAAAGGUGUGACCUCCCUGAGGAGGGACUGUGUCUAUCUGGUUGACCGUGUCCCAGUUCCUAGCACGGCGCUUGACACCAAGUGGAUGCAAAGUACUCAUGUGACCAAUGCGUGUGAGCCAAA